GCACGUCUCUCGCCCCCUCCUCCUCCCGCGCCGUUCGCCGCCCCGCCGUUCCUCGCGCCGCCGUCAGCCGCAGGAGCCGCCUCCCGCAGCCGCCGACGUAGUAACCUCCCCUGCCUCUUCUCCGCCUCGCCCCUGUGCCUCCCAACCGCCAAGCCGCCGCCGUCUCAUCUUCUCGCUGCAUGGCCGGGCGACGUGGCGAGGCGCGCGGAAGCGAGCUCUUCGACCGGCAACACGGCGAGGCGCAUGUCCGAGCGACGUGGCGAGGCGCGCGGGAGCUCUUCGGCCGGCGACACGGCGAGGCGCGCGGCUGCGCGUUGCGGUGAGGCGCGCGGGACGGCCGCUGGCGAAUGUGGCCGAACCUGAGUCCGUGGCGCACGCUGCCACCUCCGUCCUCCUCCGGCCUUAUCUCCUACGGAACAGGCUACUCAUGCAUCGGUACCUAGCCACCAUGGCGUCUCUUUCCCUCUCAAUCCAUUCUUCAUCAGGUUUUGCCCUUCGACCAUAAUCUCCAUCAUCCUGUUGAAAUUGCAUUUUUGGACCAAACAUCCAAUAUCGACGCUGGGUUCGCCGGAGGAAGAAGCGCCGAGUUUGCCGGAGGAAAAAGAACGUCUGUCGAGCCAUGCAUUGUCUCCUGUGGCGGCUACACAAGAGGCCCUUAAGAUGAGUGAUGAACAUCUGUCGAGCCGUCCAAUGUUGUAUAUGGCAGCUACACCAGAGCCGUUGUCUCCUUAGACCUCACCGCCAUCGUCUCCGCCGACUUCGCCGCAAGACAAUCUGCCAUCGCCUCCGCUGACUUUGCCGGAAGACCAUCAACCGUCGCCUAGACCUACUUUGGUUCAGUACUAAGUGGCUUCGCACUGAUGCAAGACGAACAACAUCCGGCUUAGAUGAGUCACUUCAGUGGUGUCUUGAAAACUACAUGAGCAAGACUGGAGUUGAUGGGCAUUCGAGACUAUCCCUUUUUGAUGAAAAUGUUCUUCAGCUGAAUGAAUCUCACAUUGUCAAGCAAAAGAUCAGUGAUCUCGUGCAAGGUCCAAAUGUUACCGGUGAUCAUGGCUCUACAGAAAUGAACAACUGCGACCAGUCAGGUUACGAAAUGUUCAGCCAAGUUGACCAUGUCAGAUGCAGUUUUGCUUGGAGGAAACAUAAUUUGUGCAUUCAACUACAGUUGUUGUUGCGCUCACAGGAGAAAGGACUUAGUUUUGUAUGUCAGGCAUUGAGACAGUCCACUUUCUAAAAGAGGUGGUAUAUUUGUAACCUAACUGUGCCCACGAUCAGCAAGAAAAUCAGUACAUUGAAGUUUUUAUU
Triticum aestivum (bread wheat) is the source of this 1308-nucleotide long non-coding RNA. RefSeq lists it as uncharacterized. The transcript has 4 exons. The record is from RefSeq and is a predicted model, not a curated record. Lineage: Eukaryota; Viridiplantae; Streptophyta; Magnoliopsida; Poales; Poaceae.